Molecule: ribosomal RNA, 253 nt
Filed under: uncultured bacterium
Lineage: Bacteria
Description: partial 16S ribosomal RNA
Rfam family: Bacterial small subunit ribosomal RNA
Source: RNAcentral
CGGAGGGGCUAGCGUUGUUCGGAAAUACUGGGCGUAAAGCGCACGUAGGCGGCUCAGCAAGUCAGGGGUGAAAUCCCGGGGCUCAACCCCGGAACUGCCCUUGAAACUGCUAGGCUAGAAUCUUGGAGAGGUCAGUGGAAUUCCGAGUGUAGAGGUGAAAUUCGUAGAUAUUCGGAAGAACACCAGUGGCGAAGGCGACUGACUGGACAAGUAUUGACGCUGAGGUGCGAAAGCGUGGGGAGCAAACAGGAUU